GACGAACGCUGGCGGCGUGCUUAACACAUGCAAGUCGAACGGGAAGGCCCUGCUUUUGUGGGGUGCUCGAGUGGCGAACGGGUGAGUAACACGUGAGUAACCUGCCCUUGACUUUGGGAUAACUUCAGGAAACUGGGGCUAAUACCGGAUAGGAGCUCCUGCUGCAUGGUGGGGGUUGGAAAGUUUCGGCGGUUGGGGAUGGACUCGCGGCUUAUCAGCUUGUUGGUGGGGUAGUGGCUUACCAAGGCUUUGACGGGUAGCCGGCCUGAGAGGGUGACCGGCCACAUUGGGACUGAGAUACGGCCCAGACUCCUACGGGAGGCAGCAGUGGGGAAUAUUGCACAAUGGGCGGAAGCCUGAUGCAGCAACGCCGCGUGCGGGAUGACGGCCUUCGGGUUGUAAACCGCUUUCGCCUGUGACGAAGCGUGAGUGACGGUAAUGGGUAAAGAAGCACCGGCUAACUACGU
RNAcentral lists this ribosomal RNA (467 nucleotides) under uncultured bacterium. RNAcentral describes it as "partial 16S ribosomal RNA". It matches the Rfam family "Bacterial small subunit ribosomal RNA", at positions 28 to 506 of the family's 1533-position model. The record is from RNAcentral.